UACGGAGGGUGCAAGCGUUAUCCGGAUUCACUGGGCUUAAAGGGUGCGUAGGUGGGCAAGUAAGUCAGUGGUGAAAUCUCCGGGCUUAACCCGGAAACUGCCAUUGAUACUAUUUGUCUUGAAUACUGUGGAGGUCAGCGGAAUAUGUCAUGUAGCGGUGAAAUGCUUAGAUAUGACAUAGAACACCAAUUGCGAAGGCAGCUGGCUACACGAAUAUUGACACUGAUGCACGAAAGCGUGGGGAUCAAACAGG
This 253-nucleotide ribosomal RNA is filed under the name uncultured bacterium. Its description in RNAcentral is "partial 16S ribosomal RNA". It matches the Rfam family "Bacterial small subunit ribosomal RNA", at positions 524 to 776 of the family's 1533-position model. The record is from RNAcentral.